Zea mays is the source of this 2097-nucleotide RNA transcript. It is a transcript of the gene named ankyrin repeat protein, with no coding region annotated. The transcript is spliced from 10 exons. The record is from RefSeq and is marked validated. NCBI's taxonomy places the organism in Eukaryota, Viridiplantae, Streptophyta, Magnoliopsida, Poales, Poaceae.
ACUACGUGUCUGCGUGGUCCGAAUAUCCGGGCAUCCGGCCCAGGCAUGAACGGUCGGUUAAACCGGCCAAUCCUCCUCUCAAGCCUCGACGCAGCACGGCGCGCCGGCGCGGGACGACGGCAUGACGCCGCCGUCCAUCUUCCACCACCAUCGCUGCCUCGUCUCCCUCCCCUCCGCUUCCCCGACCUGGACCUCGUCCCGUCGUCUCAUCCAUCAACUCGCAAAACCCACAGUCCUGUCCCUACAUCUGCGUCCAGUCUUAUCCUCUUCCUUCGCGGUUGCCGCCGUCGGCGACGACGAGGAUGUCGUAGUCGGGGAUUGCCUCGUGUUCGACGACGACGCUUUCGAGGAACCGGACCUGGACCUCCCCUCGUCCCCGUGGCCGUCGGCUAGCGCCUCACGCCACGGCCGGAGGUCGGAGGCAGGCGAGAGCGACAGCCUGGUGCCGGAGAGGUGGAGGCAUGCCGAGGAGGAGAUCAACCUGACGAAGAAGGAUAAGCGCCGCAUCGCGCACGGGCUGCGGUUCGGGAGCCGCCUCGAGCGGCGGGCGCCCCCAGCUGUUGCUGCUCCUGAUGAAUUCCGCGCGUACCGCAAGGGGAUGCUGAGCGCUGAGCGUGAGCAUGUUUCUCAUGUAUACCGGGGGCCGCUGGAGAGGACUCCUCCGCCGGAAGUGAAGGAACAUCCACCGCCGGAGCCGGAGCCUGGGACGCGUGUGGCCCCGAGGAAUCCGAGGAUGGGGAUGGGCGUUGGCACCCUUGACGACAUUGAUGAGUUUUUCAGAAGUAGGGAAUAUGUUCAGGAUGAGAUGGAGGACAGCAAGAGUCCUAAGGGCCGUCAGAAGUUGUUCUCAAAUGAGGAGAAGAUUCUUCUGAACAAGCGAGUGCCUGAUCUGGAAACAGCUACUUCUAGUAAAUGGCUUCCACUUCACACCCUUGCUGCAUCUGGUGAUUUCUAUCUAUUGAAUAGCCUUUUAAAACAUAACGUGGACAUAAAUGCGCUUGAUAAGGAUGGCUUACCAGCGAUCCACAAAGCAAUUCUUUCAAAGAAGGCUGCUAUUAUCAAUUAUCUUUUAAGGAACUCAGCAAAUCCAUUCAUCCAAGAUAAAGAUGGUGCGACUCUAAUGCAUUAUGCGGUCCAAACAGCAUGUAGUCAGACCAUAAAGACACUUUUACUGUACAAUGUUGACAUCAACCGUCCAGAUGAUUAUGGAUGGACACCUUUGCAUCUUGCGGUACAAACACAGAGGACUGACAUUGUGAAGCUGCUUUUAAUAAAGGGCGCUGAUAGAACUAUUAGAACCCAAGAUGGAUUGACCCCGUUGGAGUUGUGCCUCCGGUUGGGUCAUGAUGUGCGGACGUAUGAGCUUAUCAAACUACUUAAAAGUUUCCGAGGACAAAAGCAGCAUGAUUUAGUUUAGCAACUGGAGGGUGUGUGACCCUCUUUGAACCAGUGAGGUUAACCAGUGUGGUGGCCUUCUGGGAGGCCAGUUUUCAAUGUACCAUUCAUGAUUCAUGGAAUCGCUCCUGGUUUGAGAUAGGAAAUAGUUUACCCCUAGAACUGGAAGCAAACGAGCAAACCAGGUUACAGUCGAGCCAUGAGAACGGGAUGAAUAAACCUUUCUGUAGGUUGGCGCUCUUCAAUUAUUAGAGGGCUCGUCAAAAACCGACCUUUAUAUGCUAUGAAUUCUUGUUCCACUAACCUAUCAGCUGCUGACAAUUCAGCUCAGAUAUGUUGGGAAACGUUGAUCAUGAACUAACAAGAACGAGGAUUCUAUGCACUCUUGUAUGCCCGAUGCAACUUCUUUUGAAAUCAGGGCCAAUCUAGGGCGUCAUCCAACAACCCUCAUGAAGUGCCCAGCCCAACGUAGCACCCGUCCAACCGCCCACUUCAAUGAGAGUUAUGUUUUUAGUGUUCAGACUACAAAACUUAUGUUGAAUACUUAUGUCAGAGCUUGAAACUUAUGUGUUGAUACUUCUGAACUCGUGUUGAUACUGUUUGUGUUGAGAACUUGCAUAUUAAUGUUUGUGUUGGAUAUUUAUGUCUGUGAUGUAUAUAUGUGAUAUCUGUGAUGUAUAUAUGUGAUAUCUGUGAUGUAUC